This 253-nucleotide ribosomal RNA is filed under the name uncultured bacterium. RNAcentral's name for it is "partial 16S ribosomal RNA". It matches the Rfam family "Bacterial small subunit ribosomal RNA", at positions 524 to 776 of the family's 1533-position model. The record is from RNAcentral.
UACGGAGGGUGCAAGCGUUAUCCGGAUUCACUGGGUUUAAAGGGUGCGUAGGUGGGCAGGUAAGUCAGUGGUGAAAUCUCUGGGCUUAACCCAGAAACUGCCGUUGAUACUAUCUGUCUUGAAUAUGGUGGAGGUAAGCGGAAUAUGUCAUGUAGCGGUGAAAUGCUUAGAUAUGACAUAGAACACCUAUUGCGAAGGCAGCUUACUACGCCUAUAUUGACGCUGAGGCACGAAAGCGUGGGGAUCAAACAGG